CAACUCCUCGCCCGAAAAUGACUAACAACACUUAGAAUAAUUGCUUCUAAUUGUCUUUAUCCUCCAAAUAAAGCAAACCCGGCUUAUUCCCCACCAGGCAACUGGGAGAAGGGGGUGGAGCAACUGGAAGAGAUUACCUGCCUUAAUUAAAAAAUAUAAUUAUGCCUAUUAGGUAACCCCUCAAAGUUCCUUUUCCCAUCUUCCCCACGUGUAGUCUGCUGCAUUUUGAAGCUGAAACAUCUUGGAGGCCACCAAAUAAGAUAGACUUGAGAUUUCUGUUUAAUUAUUUGGGAAUCCAUAAUCCCGGGUACCCUUUGCCAUAAUCCAGAGUGGUGGGUCCGAGAGCAAUUUACAAGUGUGUCCGCGCUGGUGACUGAGCCCAACCUAGACUCAACAGCCCAUCUGUCAAGUUGGAAGAAAAUGGAAAUAGUAGAUACUUCAUUGCUGUGAGCAAUUCCAGAUGCCUCCCCUCUCACAUUUACAGCAACCUCUGCUGUGGGCAAAAUACAUAAAUUUUAGAAUCAGCCAAAUCCUGAUUUGCAUCUUUGCCAGGUAUGUUCUAGUGGUGAAAAAACCUUAUCAAGCCUUAAGCUUCAGUUCUUUCUUCUUUCAGGAGGAAUAGGGCCCGUACGUCACAGGGUUGCUUGAGGAAUAAGUGGGAGAGAGUUAUUGAACCUUGAUUAAAACCUCACCUCUGCUCAGCCCUGUAUGGGUGGUUAUUCUGGUUUUACAGAUGGGUAAACUGAAGGGGGUGGGUGGAGGAGGGUAGAGAUUUGUGAAUGGCAGGGCAAGAUCCCCCAGGUGUUCUCCUGGAUGACCCUGUGGCUUCCCUAGGGCUGCAGCCACUGAGCUUCCCGGAACUACCUCUUCCAGGGAGCCCUUUGCGUCUUUCUCUGCAGACAAAUCCGCCUGGGCCCUGCUGCUGGGAACUUCCCUCCAAUCAGGCAGGGGCUGGGAAGAGGCCAGUGAGCUGUGCCCAGGGGUUGGGAGACAGGAGAUACUCCCUGCUGUUUGUCUAAACCUAAAGUUUCUUCUUCCUUCAUCUCCACCUCUCACUAGAUAGAUCUGCCAAUCUGCUUCCUUCCCAAAAGGUAGGUAGUUAUUCCCAUUUUACAGAAGAAAAAAAAAAAAAAA
This 1134-nucleotide long non-coding RNA is filed under the name Macaca fascicularis (crab-eating macaque). RNAcentral's name for it is "lncRNA (ENSMFAG00000064331.1)". Lineage: Eukaryota; Metazoa; Chordata; Mammalia; Primates; Cercopithecidae. The record is from RNAcentral.